AAUUAAAAUAGUUUAAAUGAGAAUAUUGAUUUGUGGAUUCAAUGGUUAUAUUAUAUAUUUUAAU
RNAcentral lists this transfer RNA (64 nucleotides) under Pseudophacopteron aewagriini. Its description in RNAcentral is "tRNA-His". The record is from RNAcentral. Lineage: Eukaryota; Metazoa; Arthropoda; Insecta; Hemiptera; Phacopteronidae.